AAGCCCUAAUUAAUUUCCCCUUCACCGCAUCCACUCCUUCCCUCAGCCGCCACUCACCAUCCCCAAUUCCCCAUCUUUCUCGCGCUAGAAGCAGCACCGCCGCCUCCCAGUGCCGCCACCCUGGAUCCCCCACGCAUGCCGCCGCUCUAGAUCCCCACCCAUGCCUCCGCCUAGUGCCGUCGCCCCCGCAUCCACCACCCAUGGCGCCAUCUUCGGAUCCCCCAUCCACGCCGCCGUUGGAGGUCAGCGGCAAGUUCACAAGCGACCUUCGUGAACGGCCUGGCGAUCUUGCUUCCGUCCAUAGCACACAGUAGACGUUGGCGUCGGCAGGUUCGUUCACCAUGGCGGCUGCGCUGGUGGGGUGAGCCUGGCCUUCGAUGCGCUCUACCCGCCUUUCAACCCUCGUUGCGUGCUCCCGCCAUCACGGGCAGGCCUGUAGGGAGCGGAAGCGGAUGUUAUUGUGGUCACCGUUAAGAGAGUGCUUUUUUGGCCCACUACCAAAGAAAAAUGGUGGGUUCCUACUUGAUUAAAACUAUCAUUUUUGUUCUUUUUUUUCCAGAAAAGGCAAAACCGCUCAAGAUUCUGCUCUUCUUCAGAAUAUUCACAAGUCGCUCCUCCACUCAGGGGACAUGAUGCCGUCCCACUGUCCCUUCAUUGUGAUGCUGCCGUGGACACGCAUAUUGGGCUGCACUCUUAGGAUGGACACCAAGAUUGGCUUCCUCUCGCCAGCGCUGGGGCUGUGAGGAGCAUGAGGUAUUGCGGCCUCAUGUUGUUAUUGCUAGAGUAAUCUUUGUAAAUUCUAUCUUGACUUUUUGUAAGAAAGGAUUGCUAUUGCAGUGCAAUUGUUCUAGGUGGUGUAGUAUCUUGGCACCUUGUUAGGAUUAACAUGAUAUGCCAUUUAUUGUCUCUCUAAUGAAUACAUACUACAGUACUUGCUCUUUCUAGUGUUAGUUUGGGUUUGCAGACCAUCUAUCCUCAUAAUCUGUUUACAAGAUUGUUGUCUUGAAAAAUAUGGAAUUUUUUUAUGUGAAGAAGCAUUAAUGCAUUUUAGGACUCGACGAGUUGUGUGGCCUUUGAAAAAAUUGGCCUCCUCGCGUGAAUGUGUUGCUUGUUCUUUGUAUUUCUGCAAGACGAAGGUUUGGUAACUGAUCUGAUUGGUAUGUCUAUGACGUUCUUGUGUCCGUAUAUUCUUCAGUGGAAUAAUUGUUGUAUUAUUCUGACUAGCUCUUACUUUCAGGUGGUUGUCAAAAUACACUAUGGAACAUAAAUACUUGUGAGAUGUAUUAAUUAAUUAGUUGCUUCUUUUUUCAGGUUAUUGUAUACUGCUCUUGCACUCACAAGUUUAUAGAUCUGUGUUUUGUCAGCUAAACGGAUCUAUUGCUAGAAUCUAAGGAAGUUUUUGGACAUUUUAAUAUCUAUCUGAUGAAGUAGCACUCUAGGAUGGAUCUGUUUCUAACUGAAACCAGAUGUUGUAUUUAGUGAUGUUGCAUUUGUAGGACAUAUGGCCAUCCCAUGUAGGAGUAUGUAUGUAUGGAUGAUGGAUUGUUGUCCUUUUGGCUAUGAGGUAGUACAGGACUUGUGAACCUACAAAUGUAUUUCUAAUUAUGUAUGUCGUGAUGUAGUAUUGGACCUGUGAACCUACAGAUGUAUAGCUAUGUAUUGUUGAGAUAUGUAUUGUUGUUAUAUAUACGAUACAACCUAAUUACUCUA
Molecule: long non-coding RNA, 1710 nt
Organism: Triticum urartu
Lineage: Eukaryota; Viridiplantae; Streptophyta; Magnoliopsida; Poales; Poaceae
Source: RefSeq, a predicted model, not a curated record